Molecule: ribosomal RNA, 434 nt
Filed under: uncultured bacterium
Lineage: Bacteria
Description: bacterial SSU rRNA
Rfam family: Bacterial small subunit ribosomal RNA
Source: RNAcentral
AACGAACGCUGGCGGCAUGCCUAACACAUGCAAGUCGAACGAGACCUUCGGGUCUAGUGGCGCACGGGUGCGUAACGCGUGGGAAUCUGCCCUUGGGUUCGGAAUAACAGUGAGAAAAUUGCCGCUAAUACCGGAUGAUGUCUUCGGACCAAAGAUUUAUCGCCCAGGGAUGAGCCCGCGUAGGAUUAGCUAGUUGGUGGGGUAAUGGCCUACCAAGGCGACGAUCCUUAGCUGGUCUGAGAGGAUGAUCAGCCACACUGGGACUGAGACACGGCCCAGACUCCUACGGGAGGCAGCAGUGGGGAAUAUUGGACAAUGGGCGCAAGCCUGAUCCAGCAAUGCCGCGUGAGUGAUGAAGGCCUUAGGGUUGUAAAGCUCUUUUACCAGGGAUGAUAAUGACAGUACCUGGAGAAUAAGCUCCGGCUAACUCCGUG